This 460-nucleotide long non-coding RNA is filed under the name Nicotiana benthamiana. RNAcentral's name for it is "long non-coding RNA (NBEN_LNC024861)". The record is from RNAcentral. Lineage: Eukaryota; Viridiplantae; Streptophyta; Magnoliopsida; Solanales; Solanaceae.
CCCAUUCUGAGCCCAUGCUAUUGGUGCAGCAAUUUCACCACCAUGAGAUGAAGGGAAAAAGGGCAGCAAACUGAAACCAGUAAAAGAACAAAACGAAUUGGGCAUGGGAAAUGUGUGUUAUGAAACCAAGGCCCAGAAAAGACGUACUCCAAUCCUCUACAUAUUCGCAUAGAAUUACAUACCCUAGCAAAAGAGAGAAAAAAGAGAGACUGACUGGCGACAUAAGAAAGAAGAUUUUGCAGUGUUGAAUUUAGGCAUCAAGUUGUAGUUUCUGCUUUUGCUUUUAGAUUAUAGGGCUGCAGUCCAAUGCAGAAAGUGAGCAGCUAUCGCCAGAAUUAACAGGAAAGAGAGCCCAAUAUCAUUGUCACGUACGAUAUCGACGUUAGCAAAUUGUUGCUGGAUGUAUGUACUCUUAGGCCACUUGAUGCAACAGAAUAAGGUGCACUCCAGCCCAUUCUCU